This is a long non-coding RNA of Gadus macrocephalus (Pacific cod), 508 nucleotides long. RefSeq lists it as uncharacterized. NCBI's taxonomy places the organism in Eukaryota, Metazoa, Chordata, Actinopteri, Gadiformes, Gadidae. The record is from RefSeq and is a predicted model, not a curated record. The transcript is spliced from 3 exons.
ACUCUCUCUGUUUCUUCACAUUUCACCCCAUCAGGACACCUAUGAAACAACAGGCUUCUGCAGCUGAUUGGAUGAGCGGAGACAGAGAGUGAGGUUAAAUAGAGCCCUAUUCAUCUAGGUCUACUACAUCCCCACUGGGUUUCCUUACACUGCUGGAGACGCAGCUUCACUGCUUCAACAACACGUUCUCACUGACUUGAGCUCUCUGACAGAGAUGAAAGAUGAGUGAGGCGCUCAGACGAGAGCGACGAGUCGAGCCAAGGCUACAGAGGGGGAUACAGAGGGGGCUACAGGGGACGGUACAUGCAGCAGCCUCGGGUCCAGCAGCCCGUCUUCCCCCCUUUCCCUCCCUUCCAAGGCUUCCCCAUGGCGUUCCCUCCCCCUCCUGCCUUCCCCUUCUCGCCCCCCGGGCUCCUCCCUGGUGCUGGGGGGGACCCCAUCGGCCGACGUCAUCGUGACUUAUUAAUCAACUGUAUCAAUACCGAAAUGUAUUUAUCAAUGCAAUAAA